Molecule: small nuclear RNA, 105 nt
Organism: Loxodonta africana (African savanna elephant)
Lineage: Eukaryota; Metazoa; Chordata; Mammalia; Proboscidea; Elephantidae
Source: Ensembl
ACUUAAACACUUGAGUGAAAGGCAUGCUUGGUAUAAUACAGAGAAGAUCAGCGCAACCCCUGCAGCAAGGAUGACAAGCAAAUUUGUAAAGCAUUCCAUAUUUUU